AAGUCGAACGAGAUCUUCGGGUCUAGUGGCGCACGGGUGCGUAACGCGUGGGAAUCUGCCCUUUGGUUCGGAAUAACAGUUGGAAACGACAGCUAAUACCGGAUGAUGACGAAAGUCCAAAGAUUUAUCGCCAGAGGAUGAGCCCGCGUAGGAUUAGCUAGUUGGUGUGGUAAAGGCGCACCAAGGCGACGAUCCUUAGCUGGUCUGAGAGGAUGAUCAGCCACACUGGGACUGAGACACGGCCCAGACUCCUACGGGAGGCAGCAGUGGGGAAUAUUGGACAAUGGGCGAAAGCCUGAUCCAGCAAUGCCGCGUGAGUGAUGAAGGCCUUAGGGUUGUAAAGCUCUUUUACCCGGGAUGAUAAUGACAGUACCGGGAGAAUAAGCUCCGGCUAACUCCGUGCCAGCAGCCGCGGUAAUACGGAGGGAGCUAGCGUUGUUCGGAAUUACUGGGCGUAAAGCGCACGUAGGCGGCUUUGUAAGUUAGAGGUGAAAGCCUGGAGCUCAACUCCAGAACUGCCUUUAAGACUGCAUCGCUUGAAUCCAGGAGAGGUGAGUGGAAUUCCGAGUGUAGAGGUGAAAUUCGUAGAUAUUCGGAAGAACACCAGUGGCGAACGCGGCUCACU
This 625-nucleotide ribosomal RNA is filed under the name uncultured bacterium. RNAcentral describes it as "bacterial SSU rRNA". It matches the Rfam family "Bacterial small subunit ribosomal RNA", at positions 59 to 730 of the family's 1533-position model. The record is from RNAcentral.